This 360-nucleotide unclassified non-coding RNA is filed under the name soil metagenome. RNAcentral describes it as "partial contains 5.8S ribosomal RNA, internal transcribed spacer 2, and large subunit ribosomal RNA". The stretch from base 1 to 120 matches the Rfam family "5.8S ribosomal RNA", at positions 35 to 154 of the family's 154-position model. The record is from RNAcentral.
GAUGAAGAACGUAGCGAAAUGCGAUAAGUAAUGCGAAUUGCAGAAUUCAGUGAAUCAUCGAAUCUUUGAACGCACAUUGCGCCCGCCAGUAUUCUGGCGGGCAUGCCUGUCUGAGCGUCGUUUCGACCCUCGCGCCCGGCUUCUGUCGGGGGCGGUGUUGGGGAUCGGCUACACCCUUCAGUGGGAGGCCGGCCCCUAAAUUCAGUGGCGACCACGCUGUAGCCUCCCCUGCGUAGUACUAAAACCACCUCGCAGGCGGAGAGCGGUGCGGCCCGCCGUAAAACCCCCCAACUUUUACAAGGUCGACCUCAGAUCAGGUAGGAAUACCCGCUGAACUUAAGCAUAUCAAUAAGCGGAGGA